UGGAAGGGCGUGGCUUAGCAGGGUAUGAGUGGUACAGAGGCGUGGAAGGGCGUGGCUUAGCCGGGUAUGAGUGGUACAGAGGUGUGGAAGGGCGUGGCUUAGCGGGGUAUCAGUGGUACAGAGGUGUGGAAGGGCGUGGCUUAGCCAGCUGUGAGUGGUACAGAGGUGUGGAAGGGCGUGGAUUAGCGGGAUAUGAGUAGUACAGAGGUGUGGAAGGGUGUGGCUUAACGGGGUAUGAGUAAUACAGAGGUGUGGAAGGGCGUGGCUUAGCCGGGGAUGAGAGAGAUCGCUGGGGAGUUGUCCCAUUUCCUAGGUAUGAGAAGCUGCCCUUGGACUACCGGGCACCCUUCUUGCUGACAUUGGAGCCACCAGGUCCACUGCCCUUGGUGUCAGGCCGCUCAGCCUCUUCUAGCCUGGCGUCACUGUCCCGCUACCUCUACCAUCAGCGCUGGCUUUGGAGUGUCCCGUCAGGACUGGCCCCUGCGCUGCCUCUCAGUGCCAU
Molecule: long non-coding RNA, 502 nt
Filed under: Pan troglodytes (chimpanzee)
Lineage: Eukaryota; Metazoa; Chordata; Mammalia; Primates; Hominidae
Description: long non-coding RNA NONPTRT000221
Source: RNAcentral